RNAcentral lists this ribosomal RNA (253 nucleotides) under uncultured bacterium. RNAcentral's name for it is "partial 16S ribosomal RNA". It matches the Rfam family "Bacterial small subunit ribosomal RNA", at positions 524 to 776 of the family's 1533-position model. The record is from RNAcentral.
UACGGGGGGGGCAAGCGUUGUUCGGAAUUAUUGGGCGUAAAGGGUUCGUAGGCGGCCGGCUAAGUCAGACGUGAAAUCCCUCAGCUUAACUGGGGAACUGCGUCUGAGACUGGUCGGCUUGAGUGCAGGAGAGGAACGCGGAAUUCCAGGUGUAGCGGUGAAAUGCGCAGAUAUCAGGAGGAACACCAAUUGCGAAGGCAGCUCGCUGGGACGUUACUGACGCUGAGACGCGAAAGCGUGGGGAGCAAACAGG